RNAcentral lists this long non-coding RNA (963 nucleotides) under Helianthus annuus (common sunflower). Lineage: Eukaryota; Viridiplantae; Streptophyta; Magnoliopsida; Asterales; Asteraceae. The record is from RNAcentral.
UUUCUAUAAAUAGUUUACCAUUUUACGUGUUUAAAACCAUUCAUAAUUAAUUUGCAGGUAUGGAUCCGAGUAACAACAAUCUUUCAUUCUUAAAGCUGAAUGAGGACGAUGAUCCUAUUUUUUGUUAUUGACAUGAACUUUUCCUCCUAUAAAGCAUGAUAUUGGGUACCGAAUAAUAUAUGAGUAGAGCAUAGAGCAACACAGCGAGACGGAUAUCUCGAGGCUGAGAGAUUUGGGCAUUGAGAGAAAAUAAAGGUUUGAAAUUUGUGAUUUUCAGAUUAGGAAAGAUCGAUCAAAGCGAAUCAUAGAAAGGUCCAUCACUGGAGAACCAAUUUCAUGAGGGAGAUCUGGUGUGGGCCAAAGUUAAUCACCAUCUUUGGUGGUUGGGCAUCAUUAACCAUGAACCGCCGUUGUCAACGGAUGGUAAGAAAGUUGAAUCUUUGGCAACAAUCACAAACUUUGAUGAUUUGCGUUUUGUCGAGAGAGAGGAUGUCAGGAUUUGGAAUUGCCAUAGAGAUGAUGACAGUAAGAGCUUGACAUCCAGCAACAACACAACCACAAUGCAAAGUGAAGCCAUCUAUCUUCUGCAAUAAAAUUUAUCACAAAGGAAAACAGUUUUCCCCAAUAUCAACUGUUGCUGCAGCAGGUCUACAAUAACAAGGCUGAUUACAGGUUAGUCAACGCGAGUUCCCUGCUUUAUAAUUUCACAUCUUGCGGAAUCUUUUGAGUAUUUGAUUUUUAAUUUACUCAUCAAGGUUCUUUUACACAAGGCAUGAACUUUGUGAAUUCUUAAGUCUGAACUUUCAGUUGGACUCAUAACAAGAGAGUAAUGUUCAUUACACACAAAGCCAUACAUUCUUUGGUGAUUUGACCCACUUCAUUCAGUUAAAGAUACCAUUUUGCAGCUAAGACCACUCCUAUCUGAGAAUAAGCUCUGCUGUCGGUAACUGCAAGCUGGUACCA